GAUCGGCUAACUCCGUGCCAGCAGCCGCGGUAAUACGGAGGAUCCAAGCGUUAUCCGGAUUUAUUGGGUUUAAAGGGUCCGCAGGCGGGAUAUUAAGUCAGUGGUGAAAGCCUACAGCUUAACUGUAGAACUGCCAUUGAUACUGGUAUUCUUGAGUGUAGUUGAGGUGGGCGGAAUAAGUCAUGUAGCGGUGAAAUGCAUAGAUAUGACUUAGAACACCGAUUGCGAAGGCAGCUCACUAAACUACUACUGACGCUGAGGGACGAAAGCGUGGGGAGCGAACAGGAUUAGAUACCCUGGUAGUCCACGCCGUAAACGAUGAUCACUCGCUGUUGGCGAUAUACAGUCAGCGGCCAAGCGAAAGCAUUAAGUGAUCCACCUGGGAAGUACGCUCGCAAGAGUGAAACUCAAAUGAAUUGACGGGG
This 425-nucleotide ribosomal RNA is filed under the name uncultured bacterium. Its description in RNAcentral is "bacterial SSU rRNA". It matches the Rfam family "Bacterial small subunit ribosomal RNA", at positions 491 to 918 of the family's 1533-position model. The record is from RNAcentral.